CAUGCUGUUGGCUUUAUUCGCGGGUGGGGACGGGUACAGAGUGGAAGAAAAUAAUGGGUGUCUGAUGCUUGGCUGGCACACUCGUCCCCUCAUCGCCACCUCCGCAUGGCAACUCAACUCCAACUUCAACCCCACCUCCACCUCUGCCUCCACCUCUGCUCAUUCUCAGUGACAUUGGGUCUGGAUGGCAACGCCCUUUUACUACUCUUUCUUUCCCUCCUGAGUCUCUCUGACUUGACUCUCCAUUCCUGAUUUUUCUCUCUUCUUGCUAGAUUGUAAUCUAUUUGCUUAGAUAUUUUUCCUUUAAUUAUCAUAUCAGGGUGGACCG
This 328-nucleotide long non-coding RNA is filed under the name Vitis vinifera (wine grape). RNAcentral's name for it is "long non-coding RNA (VVIN_LNC004638)". Lineage: Eukaryota; Viridiplantae; Streptophyta; Magnoliopsida; Vitales; Vitaceae. The record is from RNAcentral.